AGAUGAUCAGACAAGCCUUCAAAAGCCUGCACAAUCUGCCGUCCCACGCCGGAACAUAGCCCUCUGUUAGUGUACACAAAUCCCCGUUCCUGCGUGGCAAGCUGUGCGUCUCGUCCUUAUUUCCUCCCUGGUUCUUUGGCUGCCCUUGGAUCUCGACCCCCUCACUUUGGACAUGAACCUGUUGACGCCCCGCUUAGCCCUUGACUUCCUGCUCGUCUCACGGACCUCCGAGCUCCCUUGUCCUCCUGAUCUUCCGCCUCUCACUCAAUUCUGCUAUUAUGUUCCGAGCACCUCAACCCCUAGUAAGAGGCAGUGGAAGUUUGAAGAUCCUUGGUGUUGUCCAUCCGAUCGAGUUGGAUUCCACUGUGUAUCUGGCAACUUCAGUCAGGGAAAGGGCAGGGGACUACAUAAUUUUGACCGUGAUUGCAGUACCAUUUCUGGCCACAUCAUUACAUAAGGUUUUGUUUAAACGUCAGGAAUCUGUUUUUGGGUUGGGGUUACUGUCAUGAAUUUCAUGACAGGUUUGGUCUUUGUUCAUUUAUUUUACUGUGUUUGGUAUUGUUUCCUUUCCAGUGCUCUUAUUUUCAGUUCUACUUCCGGUUUGCCUCCACUACUUAUCUGGCCUGAGCUCUGCCUCCCUCACCUGAUUGGCAAUCGGGGCACACCUCUUUCAGGUUGCCGAUUAGAUUUUUUUUUUAUACCAGCCAGCCUUGAACAUGCUACUCGAUCAGUUUGUGGCUACGUUGUCUUGCUUCUAUGUUUUCUGUUGUUUUGCUUG
Long non-coding RNA from Nerophis ophidion (straightnose pipefish), 778 nucleotides. RefSeq lists it as uncharacterized. NCBI's taxonomy places the organism in Eukaryota, Metazoa, Chordata, Actinopteri, Syngnathiformes, Syngnathidae. The transcript has 3 exons. The record is from RefSeq and is a predicted model, not a curated record.